UAGAACUAAUUUCUCGAUUAGUCGAAUGAUAGAGUAACGUCUUGAAAGGCUAACCUUGAUACUCCGAAUAGCGUUUAUAUUAUAAGAUAUAAAGGUUAUACGCUCGGUGAAGUCAGUUGAGAGAACACCCUAAGUAUGAGGGAUCCCUAACAUACAGGAAAUGCGAACCAGAGAUGGUCGAGUGUUUGAUAGGCUGGAGGUCUAUAAA
Molecule: non-coding RNA, 208 nt
Organism: Clostridium puniceum
Lineage: Bacteria; Bacillati; Bacillota; Clostridia; Eubacteriales; Clostridiaceae
Source: Rfam